UGAGGAAUAUUGGUCAAUGGGCGAGAGCCUGAACCAGCCAAGUAGCGUGCAGGAUGACGGCCCUAUGGGUUGUAAACUGCUUUUAUGUGGGGAUAAAGUGCGUGACGUGUCAUGCAUUGCAGGUACCACAUGAAUAAGGACCGGCUAAUUCCGUGCCAGCAGCCGCGGUAAUACGGAAGGUCCGGGCGUUAUCCGGAUUUAUUGGGUUUAAAGGGAGCGUAGGCUGUCUAUUAAGCGUGUUGUGAAAUUUACCGGCUCAACCGGUGGCUUGCAGCGCGAACUGGUCGACUUGAGUAUGCACGAAGUAGGCGGAAUUCAUGGUGUAGCGGUGAAAUGCUUAGAUAUCAUGACGAAAUCCGAUUGCGCAGGCAGCUUACUGUAGCAUAACUGACGCUGAUGCUCGAAAGGGCGGGUAUCAAACAGG
This 424-nucleotide ribosomal RNA is filed under the name Fusobacteriota bacterium. Its description in RNAcentral is "Fusobacteria bacterium partial 16S ribosomal RNA". It matches the Rfam family "Bacterial small subunit ribosomal RNA", at positions 355 to 776 of the family's 1533-position model. The record is from RNAcentral. Lineage: Bacteria; Fusobacteriati; Fusobacteriota.